Molecule: ribosomal RNA, 305 nt
Filed under: uncultured bacterium
Lineage: Bacteria
Description: bacterial SSU rRNA
Rfam family: Bacterial small subunit ribosomal RNA
Source: RNAcentral
GAUCCUACGGGACGCAGCAGUGGGGAAUAUUGGGCAAUGGGCGCAAGCCUGACCCAGCAACGCCGCGUGAAGGAAGAAGGCCCUCGGGUUGUAAACUUCUUUUGUCAGGGACGAAGCAAGUGACGGUACCUGACGAAUAAGCCACGGCUAACUACGUGCCAGCAGCCGCGGUAAUACGUAGGUGGCAAGCGUUAUCCGGAUUUAUUGGGUUUAAAGGGUGCGUAGGCGGAUUUUUAAGUCAGCGGUAAAAUGUCCGGGCUCAACCCGGGCCGGCCGUUGAAACUGGGGAUCUUGAGUGGGCGAGA